AUUUACACUCUUGCUGGGAAGUCCAGUUGCACACUUGGAGAUUCCUCGCACACUCACAAGCCUCCCUGGCAGGGGUGGCGUCUGGUGACAGGGAUCCAGGUGAAACAUUGACCACUUCCCGGAAAGGUCCUUGGCCCCUGGCCAGCGUCACAGUCCGGCCGGAAAGGCCAGAGGGCAACCAACUGGACCCAAAGAGAGGCAACCACUGACCGGCUGGACAGCUGGACAGGGACCCUCGGAGUGGACAAUUAGCCCGGGGCAGCCACAAUGACCACCGACCUCUGGGAGCUGAUGCAGCACCGGAAGCUGCUCCAGAUGAUCUUCGUUUUGGGAUUCGGGGGGACCUUCCAGGCCGGGUUCCAGGUCUCCAUGAUCACCUUCACUUCUCCGCAUGUGAAGUCCUUCCUGAACGCCUCUUGGACGGAGCGCUCUGGGGGCCUCCCUCUCCCCCCAGAGACCCUCACCCUCCUCUGGUCCCUGGUGGUCUCCAUCUUUGCCCUCGGAGGACUCCUCGGGUCCAUGGCCAGCGGCUACCUGGCCGCCAAGUAUGGCAAGAAGCGGUGCCUUCUGGCCAACAACCUUGCGAUGCUGGCCGGGUCCCUCCUUCUGGGCCUCAGCCGGGUGGCUGCCUCCUUUGAGCUGAUGCUGGCUGGACGCUUCCUCUGCGGACUCUGCACCGGGCUGAGCGUCCCCCUCCAUCCGCAGUUCCUGGGGGAGGCCUCCCCAAAGACCCUCCGCGGCUUCGCCAACUCCACCGCCUCCGCCUUCUGGAGCCUUGGGAAGGUCUUCGGGCAGGUCAUGGGCCAGAGGGAGGUCCUGGGCGAUGGCUCUCGGUGGCCCAUCCUGAUGGCCCUCAGUGGCCUCCCGGCCCUGGCCCAGCUCCUGGCCCUGCCUUUCUUCCCAGAAUCCCCUCCGCACCUCUUCCUCCACCGAGGAGACGAGGAAGGAUGCAGGAAAGCCAUGAGGGCCCUCUGGGGUGAAGGCCGGCCUUGGCAGCAGCAGCAGGAGAUGGAGGACCUGCGGAAGGAGAAGCAGUCCCAGCGCAGCGGUGCCCAGCGCAGCCUCGGUGUAUCGGACUUGCUGCGGGAGCGGAGGUUGCGCGCCCAGCUGUUCCUCGUGGUCCUCAUCUCCGUCGCCGUGCAGCUCAGUGGGAUCCAGGCAAUCUACAGUUACACCUUUGAGGUCCUGAGUGCCGCUGGGUUCGAGGACGACCAGAUCCCGCACCUCUCCCUCGGCCUCAGCACCUUUGAGCUCCUCUCCACCUUCCUCUGCGUGAGAGAUGGGUACUCAGACCUCACAAGGCCAGGGCCUGGCUCUGGUUUCCCACCCGCCAAGCCCGGCUCAAAGUGGCUUUGCGUGAUGGCGCUGCUACGAAUAACGAGGGACUCCAGGCCGGCCGUUGCUCACAGCGCAGGUCAGGUCUUGCAAAGCCACUGCCCAACUUCCACAAACCACACACGGAAAGUUGAAAUGAGAUGCUGUGGCAGGGAUCUAUUAUGUAUCCUGACAAUUCUGGAUCUUGUCUUAACAGACACUUUUGCCCUGACUCCUUCCCCAUUUUCAUGCAGUUUCAUUCUUGUGUCUGAGAGAGAGAGAGAGAGAGAGGGGGGGGGGGGGGGGGGCAGGGGCAGAGACCUGCCCCCCCCCCCAAAUUAUCUUAAGGGUUUAUUUUGGAUGCAUUAAAAUCCUUUGCAAUGUUUCCCUCCUGGCUUUCCUGGACAGCACCUGCAUCCCUGGGUUCCUUAUGGCAGCCUCUGCCUCAUUUUCGGCAUCGUCUUCUCCUUUGGGAUGGGACCCGCUGGCGCCACUUCCUCGGUCCGGAUGGAGAUCUUUGACCAGUCCUCCCGGGCGUCCGCUUUUGUGGUCAGUGG
Sceloporus undulatus (fence lizard) is the source of this 1871-nucleotide RNA transcript. It is a transcript of the gene named solute carrier family 2, facilitated glucose transporter member 11-like, with no coding region annotated. The record is from RefSeq and is a predicted model, not a curated record. The transcript has 10 exons. NCBI's taxonomy places the organism in Eukaryota, Metazoa, Chordata, Lepidosauria, Squamata, Phrynosomatidae.